RNAcentral lists this long non-coding RNA (320 nucleotides) under Malus domestica (apple). RNAcentral's name for it is "long non-coding RNA (MDOM_LNC012531)". Lineage: Eukaryota; Viridiplantae; Streptophyta; Magnoliopsida; Rosales; Rosaceae. The record is from RNAcentral.
UCGGUCGGUGCACUUGGUAAGAGAUUAUUUCUCGAUGGCAAAUGUUGAGCAAGAUCGAAAGUCCUACUGUCGCUGACCUUACUAACCAGUAUCUCGAGUAAUCUGGUUUGUGCCUCACUGGUAUUGCGUAUCACGUCAUGAAGUUUAUCGAUUUCUCGACUAAACGUCUGCUCGACCGUCCGAGAUUGCUCGUCGAGCCAUUUUCGAAGAAACGACCUUGUUGGUGGAUCAAAGCCUUCGCCACCAUCUUUGUCACAAUCCUCUAGUAUCCUUUCAUUGAGGACGCAGGUGUUCCUGUCGGGGAUUUCGAGACUGCGAAA